UCGGGAAUUUUGGGCAAUGGGGGAAACCCUGACCCAGCAACGCCGCGUGAAGGAUGAAGGCCUUCGGGUCGUAAACUCCUGUCGACCGGGACGAACGCUAUUGGGCCCAAUACGCCCGAUAGUCGACUGUACCGGUGGAGGAAGUCACGGCUAACUCUGUGCCAGCAGCCGCGGUAAUACAGAGGUGGCAAGCGUUGUUCGGAAUUACUGGGCGUAAAGGGCUCGUAGGCGGCCAACUAAGUCAGACGUGAAAUCCCUCGGCUUAACCGGGGAACUGCGUCUGAUACUGGAUGGCUUGAGGUUGGGAGAGGGAUGCGGAAUUCCAGGUGUAGCGGUGAAAUGCGUAGAUAUCUGGAGGAACAC
RNAcentral lists this ribosomal RNA (363 nucleotides) under uncultured bacterium. Its description in RNAcentral is "bacterial SSU rRNA". It matches the Rfam family "Bacterial small subunit ribosomal RNA", at positions 355 to 709 of the family's 1533-position model. The record is from RNAcentral.